RNAcentral lists this ribosomal RNA (379 nucleotides) under uncultured eukaryote. Its description in RNAcentral is "partial 18S ribosomal RNA". It matches the Rfam family "Eukaryotic small subunit ribosomal RNA", at positions 592 to 976 of the family's 1831-position model. The record is from RNAcentral.
CAAUAGCGUAUAUUAAAGUUGUUGCGGUAAAAAAGCUCGUAGUUGGAUUUCUGUUGAGAGCGACCGGUCCAUACCAUGUGUGCGUAUCUGGCUUGCUCUCGGCAUCCUCUCGAUAGACGUUACUGCGCUUGAUUGCGUGGUGCGGAUCUCGGGACUUUUACUUUGAGGAAAUUAGAGUGUUCACGGCAGGCUUUCGCCAGAAUACAUUAGCAUGGAAUAAUACUAUAGGAUCUUGGUUCUAUUUUGUUGGUUUCUAGAAUUGAGAUAAUGAUUAAUAGGGACAAUUGGGGGCAUUCGUAUCAACACGUCAGAGGUGGAAUUCUUGGAUUGUGUUGCGACGAACUACUGCGAAAGCAUUUGCCAAGGAUGUUUUCAUUGA